UACGGGAGGCAGCAGUGGGGAAUAUUGCACAAUGGGCGAAAGCCUGAUGCAGCGACGCCGCGUGAGCGAAGAAGUAUUUCGGUAUGUAAAGCUCUAUCAGCAGGGAAGAAAAAUGACGGUACCUGACUAAGAAGCACCGGCUAAAUACGUGCCAGCAGCCGCGGUAAU
This 168-nucleotide ribosomal RNA is filed under the name uncultured rumen bacterium. RNAcentral describes it as "partial 16S ribosomal RNA". It matches the Rfam family "Bacterial small subunit ribosomal RNA", at positions 340 to 524 of the family's 1533-position model. The record is from RNAcentral.